CUGCAGUCGAGCGGACAGAAGGGAGCUUGCUCCCGGAUGUUAGCGGCGGACGGGUGAAUAACACGUGGGUAACCUGCCUGUAAGACUGGGAUAACUCCGGGAAACCGGAGCUAAUACCGGAUAGUUCCUUGAACCGCAUGGUUCAAGGAUGAAAGACGGUUUCGGCUGUCACUUACAGAUGGACCCGCGGCGCAUUAGCUAGUUGGUGAGGUAACAGCUCACCAAGGCGACGAUGCGUAGCCGACCUGAGAGGGUGAUCGGCCACACUGGGACUGAGACACGGCCCAGACUCCUACGGGAGGCAGCAGUAGGGAAUCUUCCGCAAUGGACGAAAGUCUGACGGAGCAACGCCGCGUGAGUGAUGAAGGUUUUCGGAUCGCAAAGCUCUGUUGUUAGGGAAGAACAAGUGCAAGAGUAACUGCUUGCACCUUGACGGUACCUAACCAGAAAGCCACGGCUAACUACGUGCCAGCAGCCGCGGUAAUACGUAGGUGGCAAGCGUUGUCCGGAAUUAUUGGGCGUAAAGGGCUCGCAGGCGGUUUCUUAAGUCUGAUGUGAAAGCCCCCGGCUCAACCGGGGAGGGUCAUUGGAAGCUGGGAAACUUGAGUGCAGAAGAGGAGAGUGGAAUUCCACGUGUAGCGGUGAAAUGCGUAGAGAUGUGGAGGAACACCAGUGGCGAAGGCGACUCUCUGGUCUGUAACUGACGCUGAGGAGCGAAAGCGUGGGGAGCGAACAGGAUUAGAUACCCUGGUAGUCCACGCCGUAAACGAUGAGUGCUAAGUGUUAGGGGGUUUCCGCCCCUUAGUGCUGCAGCUAACGCAUUAAGCACUCCGCCUGGGGAGUACGGUCG
This 850-nucleotide ribosomal RNA is filed under the name uncultured bacterium. RNAcentral's name for it is "bacterial SSU rRNA". It matches the Rfam family "Bacterial small subunit ribosomal RNA", at positions 55 to 888 of the family's 1533-position model. The record is from RNAcentral.